Molecule: ribosomal RNA, 253 nt
Filed under: uncultured bacterium
Lineage: Bacteria
Description: partial 16S ribosomal RNA
Rfam family: Bacterial small subunit ribosomal RNA
Source: RNAcentral
UACGUAGGGUGCAAGCGUUAAUCGGAAUUACUGGGCGUAAAGCGUGCGCAGGCGGUUGUGCAAGACAGAUGUGAAAUCCCCGGGCUUAACCUGGGAAUUGCAUUUGUGACUGCACGGCUAGAGUGUGUCAGAGGGGGGUAGAAUUCCACGUGUAGCAGUGAAAUGCGUAGAGAUGUGGAGGAAUACCGAUGGCGAAGGCAGCCCCCUGGGAUAACACUGACGCUCAGGCACGAAAGCGUGGGGAGCAAACAGG